ACCAACGGAGAGGUGACCAGACAUCAACGGAUGAAUGGGAGAAAGAGAUACAACCAUACGUCAACUGACGUCAACGGACGCAAGGGAGAAGCUCGACGUUUAUCGACACCAACGGAGAGGUGACCAGACAUCAACGGAUGAAUGGGAGAAAGAGAUACAACCAUACGUCAACGGACGAAUGGGAAAAACUCAACGUUUAUCGAAACCAACGGAGAGGUGAC
Molecule: long non-coding RNA, 221 nt
Filed under: Lathyrus oleraceus (garden pea)
Lineage: Eukaryota; Viridiplantae; Streptophyta; Magnoliopsida; Fabales; Fabaceae
Description: Pisum sativum (pea) long non-coding RNA (PSAT_LNC017267)
Source: RNAcentral